Molecule: ribosomal RNA, 253 nt
Filed under: uncultured bacterium
Lineage: Bacteria
Description: partial 16S ribosomal RNA
Rfam family: Bacterial small subunit ribosomal RNA
Source: RNAcentral
UACGUAGGGUGCGAGCGUUAAUCGGAAUUACUGGGCGUAAAGCGUGCGCAGGCGGUUCGCUGUGUCCGAUGUGAAAGCCCCGGGCUUAACCUGGGAAUGGCAUUGGAAACUGGCGGGCUUGAGUGCGGCAGAGGGGGGUGGAAUUCCGCGUGUAGCAGUGAAAUGCGUAGAGAUGCGGAGGAACACCGAUGGCGAAGGCAGCCCCCUGGGCCUGCACUGACGCUCAUGCACGAAAGCGUGGGGAGCAAACAGG